Molecule: long non-coding RNA, 1348 nt
Organism: Oncorhynchus tshawytscha (Chinook salmon)
Lineage: Eukaryota; Metazoa; Chordata; Actinopteri; Salmoniformes; Salmonidae
Source: Ensembl
AUUAAUUAAUUAUUUUUUUAUUUAAAUAAUACAUACUUACCCAGAAAAGCCUUAAUACCUACCCAAUACUUACCUGAAUACCUGAGAUCCAAACCGCCGUGUGCCCGGUGUGUCGCUGCUCUGGAGAAGACCUGUGCGUAAUAUUUUUUGCCCGCUCCUGUUGGACGCUGGAAACAAACACAAGCAACAUCCACAACCACUCAACCACCUACUCCUGAAGAGCAAGUUUCUAUACCCUAUUUUUUUUCUAUAGAAAUAAAUCCCUCCUCAAACCCUUACCCUAAAGAUUGUCCAUAUCCUGUUUCCAAUCCUACCCCCUAAACCGUUUUCGUAUCCCCUACCCCCUAAACCGUUUUCGUAUCCCCUACCCAACCCUACCCCUAAACCAGGUUCGUAUCCCCUACCCAACCCUACCCCCUAACCCAGGUUCGUAUCCCCUACCCAACCCUUCCCCCUAAACCAGGUUCGUAUCCCUUACCCAACCCUACCCCCUAAACCAGGUUUGUAUCGCUUACCCAACCCUACCCCCUAAACCUGGUUCAAAUCCCCUACCCAACCCUAACCUGGGUUCAUAUCCCCUACCCAACACUAUCCCCUAAACCAGGUUUGUAUCCCCUACCCAACACCUCCCUCCCUCCUGAUUUUAGUUUUACCUUUUGUCUUUUUUCUUUACAUUUAAUUAUCCAAUAAAGCUUGUUUUCAUAAAGGUCAAGUCGCUGAAGACAAAAGGAGAACUGCAAACACCCCUGAGAAGAGGGGUAGAAAAGGGUUACAAGCCCAAGUCUCUUAUGUCCUCCAGUUUAAAUAAAAGAGCUCUGUACUAUCCAUUCAAACCCCAGUCCUACCUACCUACAGGUUAUGGAACAUUUGCUAUUUUAGUAUUUGUCCAGUAGGUUUCCUCGAGGUGGAUAAAAACACUUCUAUGUUAAUGAUUACGCUCUCGUUGGCUGGCCCUCGCUUCAUACUCGUUGCCAAACCCACUGGCUCCAGGUCAUCUACAAGUCUCUGCUAGGUAAAGCCCCGCCUUAUCUCAGCUCACUGGUCACCAUAGCAGCACCCACCUGUAGCACACGCUCCAGUGGGUAUAUCUCACUGGUCACCCCCAAAGCCAAUUCCCCCUUUGGUCGUCUUUCCUUCCAGUUCUCUGCUGCCAAUGACUGGAACGAGCUGCAAAAAUCUCUGAAGCUGAAGACUCAUAUCUCCCUCACUAGCUUUAAGCACCAGCUGUCAGAGCAGCUCACAGAUCACUGCACCUGUACAUAGCCCAUCUGUAAACAGCCCAUCUAUCUACCUACCUCAUCCCCAUACAGUAUUUAUUUAUUUAUUUAUCUUGCUCCUUUGCACCCCA